UCUUACCCCUGAUGGGAACGGCAUCCUUUUAUAACACCCCUUUUUUGGGGUGGUAUAAAAGAUAUAGUGUACAGCAGGAUUAGGU
This is a small RNA of Flavobacterium sp. FPG59, 85 nucleotides long. It matches the Rfam family "Flavo-1 RNA". The record is from Rfam. Lineage: Bacteria; Pseudomonadati; Bacteroidota; Flavobacteriia; Flavobacteriales; Flavobacteriaceae.